Molecule: ribosomal RNA, 253 nt
Filed under: uncultured bacterium
Lineage: Bacteria
Description: partial 16S ribosomal RNA
Rfam family: Bacterial small subunit ribosomal RNA
Source: RNAcentral
GACGAACCGUGCAACCGUUAUUCGGAAUCACUGGGCUUAAAGGGCGCGUAGGCGGGUUGGAUAGUCUGCGGUGAAAUACUUCAGCUUAACUGGAGAACUGCCGUGGAUACUACCAGUCUCGAGGAGGGUAGGGGCAUCUGGAACAGCCGGUGGAGCGGUGAAAUGCGUUGAUAUCGGCUGGAACUCCGGUGGCGAAGGCGAGAUGCUGGACCCUUUCUGACGCUGAGGCGCGAAAGCCAGGGGAGCGAACGGG